AAAUGUCUACCCUUAAGGCCACGAAUUUUCAAUACCCUUUUAUUCCAGGUUUAUGGGCUGUCCGUCCGUCGAAAGUAAUUAUCAAUAAGUUUGGAGGUACCUCAACAUCGCGGAAUGCCUGGUGCUCAACAGCGGAUCCAACGAUGGGCAGAGGAGUCGGGAUCGGUGGUCCAAAUAUCGUUAGCGAUGCUGGCAAAGGUGUUUGGUGCUGGAUUACUUCCUUUUGUUCAACAGUUAUUGAGCUUUUUUCUCUUUUUGUGCAAUAAAGGCAAUAAAUAGUUUUAAAAUUUUGUUUUGUGA
Musca vetustissima is the source of this 300-nucleotide long non-coding RNA. RefSeq lists it as uncharacterized. The record is from RefSeq and is a predicted model, not a curated record. Lineage: Eukaryota; Metazoa; Arthropoda; Insecta; Diptera; Muscidae. The transcript has 2 exons.